RNAcentral lists this ribosomal RNA (253 nucleotides) under uncultured bacterium. RNAcentral's name for it is "partial 16S ribosomal RNA". It matches the Rfam family "Bacterial small subunit ribosomal RNA", at positions 524 to 776 of the family's 1533-position model. The record is from RNAcentral.
UACGUAGGUGGCAAGCGUUGUCCGGAAUUAUUGGGCGUAAAGCGCGCGCAGGUGGUUCCUUAAGUCUGAUGUGAAAGCCCACGGCUCAACCGUGGAGGGUCAUUGGAAACUGGGGAACUUGAGUGCAGAAGAGGAAAGUGGAAUUCCAAGUGUAGCGGUGAAAUGCGUAGAUAUUGGGAAGAACACCAGUGGCGAAGGCGGCUCUCUGGACCGAUACUGACGCUGAGGCGCGAAAGCGUGGGGAGCAAACAGG